This is a long non-coding RNA of Oryzias melastigma (Indian medaka), 563 nucleotides long. RefSeq lists it as uncharacterized. Lineage: Eukaryota; Metazoa; Chordata; Actinopteri; Beloniformes; Adrianichthyidae. The record is from RefSeq and is a predicted model, not a curated record. The transcript has 3 exons.
AGUAAUGCUGAUUGUAUGAAAUAGACUCACAUCAAAACGAGUUGAAACUCUGGCAAUCUGGUUGUUAUUUGGAUCUCCAGCAGGAUUUCAUUUAUGGCGAUUCUAAAAAUAUUUGUCCUUGCUGUGGCCUUAAAAGGUUUAACUGAAGCAGCUGGGAUUUUACCAGAUGGUCCUUUGAAUGGAUCUGUUGGAGGAUCAGUGAUGUUCACAACACUUCUGACUGAAGCAGAUGGACCAUUUGCUGCAGUGAGCUGGAGUUUUGAUGGCAGGGAUAUAAUAAUACAGCACACCGCAACUAAUAAUUCAACUACCCCAGCCUAUGAAGGCAGGAUCACAUUUUUUCCAUCUACAGCAUCUCUGGAGCUCAGAGAUCUGACCCUGGAUGAUGGAGGAGACUAUAAUGUUAAUGUUUUUGGUAGUGGAACAGAAACAACCAAACUGGACGUAUACGUUCCAGUCUUCUCUGUAACAGUAUCUCCUCAGAGUGCAGACUUGGUUGAGUUCAGCUCUUUCAGUCUGACCUGCUCCUCCUCUGGUUCCUCGCUGUCCUUCAUCUGGAUGAA